Molecule: long non-coding RNA, 3650 nt
Filed under: Ricinus communis (castor bean)
Lineage: Eukaryota; Viridiplantae; Streptophyta; Magnoliopsida; Malpighiales; Euphorbiaceae
Description: long non-coding RNA (RCOM_LNC001436)
Source: RNAcentral
CCAUAUGGUUGGAUUGUCAUUUAUUUUAAUCAAAAUCUUUACUCAAGUUUCUUGAUAAAAAUGCUGGUGGCUGAUGACGGCUGCCAUCAUUUUCACUAUUACAAUUAAGAUCAAUAUGUAGAACUUUUCUGCACGUACGUGAUCAACAAAUGUUCACGGAAGAGUACUCUUUUCGCAAGGGAAAACCUGAUACUGUUGGAAGCUAUUCCCUGCAACAGUCACCUCCUUCAGCAGCAAUCAAUUCGAUUAUAACCUGUGAACAUUCUGAUAAUGCCUUAAUCCUACUUAUGCUUUCAGGAAUCGAAGUUGGCCUAAAAGCACAAGUUGCAGCAGAUCCCCUUCAACCACCAGCCUUUCAUCAAACUUCAUAUGGGAUUUGCGUAAGCAUAUAGGCAGUCCAGAUUUAUAGCCACCACAGGUAUUGGCUAUCUCUUUUUCUUAGCAUUUUUUUCCCUUCCAACACACGAAAUUGGCACUUAUUCAGGAAUUAAGCUUUUAAAAACUAGCUAAAUUAUUUAAUUUUUUUAUCACAAAUAUAGAGAGAAGAAGAUUCAAAGUUGCGAAAUGCAUCAAUUGGCAGGUUAAAUCUAUCUUAUGAAAACAAGCUGAAUUUUCAAUUACGCUCAACUACAAAAGUUUCUUAAGUAUCAUAUUUAUUAUUAUUAUUGUUAAUGGCUAAUUUGAGUCUUAUUCAGCGCAUAAUACGAAAUGAGCAAUAUUUGAGUUUUGAAUAUUAAUGACUAAACAAAUAGAAAAAUUAAAAAAAAAAAAAACAAAUGUCUCAAAUUAAUCAAUUACAUGGCAACCACAUAGACACCAAAAUUCCAUUUUGGCUUUUGAUAUGUUGGAUUGGAGAGAGCAAGCUUGAAUGCCAACUGACGUAUAACAACAAAGCAUGAUAUUUCGCAUAAUAAUGAUACUGUAAAUACAAUCUUGAAAUACUUAAAAAGAGAAAAAAAAAAUUAUUAAAAAGAAAAUUUAAUUUACCAAUUGAUUUGGAAUAUAGAAUCACAAAUUAUCAUAAAAAUGAUAGAUAAAAAAGUAUUAAAAAAAAAUUAUUAACAACUCUAAUAACAAUUCGUUUGAAAAACACAUUCCAAGCGAAUUAUGAGUUCGCCUUCAUCGGUAACUCGCCUAAGGAGUAAAACUUGCCGGACACUUUUUAAAAAUAGAAAGUCUCCUAAUGAUUCAGACACGUCUAUUAUUAUUUUCUAUCUCAAUUAAUUUUGUUUUUAUCUAAUAAUUUAAAACGUGGCAGACAUAAUUUUUAUAAAUGAUAAGAUACUAUUUUAAGAGUUUAGUUAAAUUAAUUUCAAGACAUUUAUAAAACUAUGGAGAAGCUAUUCUUAUAUAAAAAUAAUACUAUUAUAACCUUUAAAAAUUAUUUUCAGAACUUNNNNNNNNNNNNNNNNNNNNNNNNNNNNNNNNNNNNNNNNNNNNNNNNNNNNNNNNNNNNNNNNNNNNNNNUUUCUUACUUUAUUAAUGGAGGACUGGCCUUAGUUACAUAUUUCCGUUUUGAAACAUGAAACUACAAAGAAAAAGAUUUUCUGUUUUGCUCUUCUUUCUUUUUGAGAUUGAUGGCGGGAAAGAAAAAUAUUUUAAAACUUCUUAAGUUGAGUAUUGAUACAUAAUUAGCUAAAUAGGAAUUCUUUAAGCUAGUAAUAACUAGCUCGCCUAUAACCUCUCCGGAUCGUCUACUAAUUCUAAUCUAUAUUAUAGACGGAUCGUCUUUUUAGUUAAUAGACAUACAUCCAUGAUGUUCGAGAAAGUAGCAUCGUGCCCUAUUAUGUCUAUUUCAGAAACCACUCCUCAUGGCUUCACCUUCAAAACAAUAUUAUAAAUAUUUCAUUACAUCUCAUUAGACAGGUAACGCAAUUAUAAUACUUUAUAUACUUUAUUUAAACUUUCAUUCACAUACUAAUUUAAAUAUCGGAUCAGGUAUCACAUCUAGGAUUCCUAAUUUAUUUUAUUGCAGAUAUUUUGAAAAUCUCUAAAUCAAGAGUAUACAGUUACAGACCAAUUUCUGAAUGUAUCAAGAAGGGUUGCUGUGUUGUUGUUUGUGCAUUACUCUUGGUAUAUGUCUGUCCUUAAAGCUUGGAAAUCGUCAAGCAAAUCAGUAACAUUUCAAAACGGAAUUCAACCAAAUGUCGAACACAGAAGCACUGAUCCUGUUCAUUCACAAACAAAAGCCCACUUCAAAGUAUUCCUCGACACAAAAGAAAAUAAAGUCAUUAAAAACCUGUCCAUACUUUCUUUUAUCUAGUAUUUUAGUUUUAGCAAUUUAGGGUGUAUUAGGACAUAAAUGUUUCAUGUAAGAGUUUAAUACAGUUAGUUCUUAUAAAAUUAGUAUUGAUGAUACGUGCAUAUAUCAAUUUGAACAAGAUUUCAAGUUUAAGUCUUCAAUUCCUAAUUUGUAACUCAAAAGAAUAUAAUUACAUAUUAAAAUUGAAACACAGGACUUUCAUUCGGCUAAAAAAGAACAAAGUAUAAAUAAAUUAAAUCAUUGUAAUAUUAUUAUAGUGGCUCCUAGUUCUCUAAUUAAACAUUAUUAGUACAGAUUCUUGAAAAUUACACUAUUAUAUCUUAAUAGUAUCCCAACUCAAAUAGAAAGAAAGUCUUAUAUACCUAAUACCACUACAGCAGUAGCUUGGGGGAGAUGGCUUUCAUCAAACCGCUUCAGAUUUUGGGUUUAAAUUCUAAUAUUUCCUCAGGAAUGUUUGAAGACUCGAUUUGGUUGAGUUUUUCUUGGCUCCAACAUUGGUGUGUGCAUUGAGGAGCUUGGAUACGAUGAAAAGAGUCCGUAUAAUCACACCCAACCACAGUAGUUAUGGCUAACAUUUUUCUCUUUUUCUUUUUAUCAAAAAGAUAUUAUAUAUUUAAGACAUGAAGCAAUUUUAAAUUAAAAAGAAAAGUCUGAAUAAGUUAUAAAAUAUAAAUUAUUUAUUGCAACAUGAAAAAAUAUAAAAAGAAUCUCUCUCUCUCUCUCUCUUUCUCUCUCUCUCUCUCUAUAUAUAUAUAUAUAUAUAUAUUCUUAAUUUUAAAAUUUAAAUUUUUAAUACAUAAAAUUUUUAUAAGCUUGAUCCCGCCUUUAGACUCGUUAUGUUAUUCUACUGAACUUGUUGGCUCCACGCUCUAUUUGGGCGGAAUCCAUUUCGAGAACCUUCUUUUAUAAAUUCUUUCCAUCAAGUAAUCGCCAGCAAUCAGUUCUUGUCUUUAGACAUAUAUAUUUAAUUUUUUAUACGUAAAUUUUUUAUUUUAACACGUAUAUCUAGUUUUGACAUAUAAGAUUUAAAUUUAUAUAUAAUUUUAUAAUUUUUUAUUAACUUAUUAAUUAAUAAGAUAUAUUUCUAAUUAAAUACUGAUUAUAAUUUUAAAAAAUAACAUACUAAUCACAUAUUAUUAUUAUUAUUAUUAUUAUUAUUAUUAUUAUUAUUAUGUGAACUGAUGAAUAAUUUUUUAACCAUAAUAAUAUUAAUUAUAUACUAAAAAAUGACAUAUAAAUUAUUUUAUAUUAAAUAAUAGAUUAAAUUUUUAAUUAAAUAAAAUAUUAAUCUUUAGUAAUUUUAGAUAAUUUUUCUAAUAAUAUAUAAAUAAUAAAUUAAUAUUUAUUUAUAUAAUAAAUUUCUGAUUUUAAAAAAUAAUAUAAUAUU